ACCAGUGUAGUGUAGUGGUUUGAAUAUUCGACUACAAUUCUGGAGAUCAGGGUUGAAUUCCCUGCUCGGCCA
Non-coding RNA from Phrynosoma platyrhinos (Desert horned lizard), 72 nucleotides. The record is from the annotation of a GenBank genome assembly. Lineage: Eukaryota; Metazoa; Chordata; Lepidosauria; Squamata; Phrynosomatidae.